RNAcentral lists this ribosomal RNA (253 nucleotides) under uncultured microorganism. RNAcentral describes it as "partial 16S ribosomal RNA". It matches the Rfam family "Bacterial small subunit ribosomal RNA", at positions 524 to 776 of the family's 1533-position model. The record is from RNAcentral.
UACGUAGGGUGCGAGCGUUAAUCGGAUUUACUGGGCGUAAAGCGUGCGCAGGCGGCCCGUUAAGACAGGUGUGAAAUCCCUGGGCUCAACCUAGGAAUUGCGCUUGUGACUGGCGGGCUCGAGUACGGUAGAGGGGGGUGGAAUUCCUGGUGUAGCAGUGAAAUGCGUAGAGAUCAGGAGGAACACCGAUGGCGAAGGCAGCCUCCUGGGCCUGUACUGACGCUCAUGCACGAAAGCGUGGGGAGCAAACAGG